Molecule: ribosomal RNA, 409 nt
Filed under: Bacillota bacterium
Lineage: Bacteria; Bacillati; Bacillota
Description: Firmicutes bacterium partial 16S ribosomal RNA
Rfam family: Bacterial small subunit ribosomal RNA
Source: RNAcentral
UGGGGAAUAUUGCACAAUGGGCGAAAGCCUGAUGCAGCGACGCCGCGUGAGGGAUGAAGGCCGUCGGGUUGUAAACCUCUUUCAGCAGGGAAGAAGCGCAAGUGACGGUACCUGCAGAAGAAGCGCCGGCUAACUACGUGCCAGCAGCCGCGGUAAUACGUAGGGCGCAAGCGUUGUCCGGAAUUAUUGGGCGUAAAGAGCUCGUAGGCGGUUUGUCGCGUCUGGUGUGAAAACUCGAGGCUCAACCUCGAGCUUGCAUCGGGUACGGGCAGACUAGAGUGCGGUAGGGGAGACUGGAAUUCCUGGUGUAGCGGUGGAAUUCGCAGAUAUCAGGAGGAACACCGAUGGCGAAGGCAGGUCUCUGGGCCGCAACUGACGCUGAGGAGCGAAAGCAUGGGGAGCGAACAGG